This 464-nucleotide ribosomal RNA is filed under the name Vreelandella stevensii. RNAcentral's name for it is "partial 16S ribosomal RNA". It matches the Rfam family "Bacterial small subunit ribosomal RNA", at positions 339 to 795 of the family's 1533-position model. The record is from RNAcentral. Lineage: Bacteria; Pseudomonadati; Pseudomonadota; Gammaproteobacteria; Oceanospirillales; Halomonadaceae.
CCUAGGUAGGCAGCAGUGGGGAAUAUUGGACAAUGGGCGAAAGCCUGAUCCAGCCAUGCCGCGUGUGUGAAGAAGGCCUUCGGGUUGUAAAGCACUUUCAGUGGGGAAGAAAGCCUUGGGGCUAAUACCCUCGAGGAAGGACAUCACCCACAGAAGAAGCACCGGCUAACUCCGUGCCAGCAGCCGCGGUAAUACGGAGGGUGCGAGCGUUAAUCGGAAUUACUGGGCGUAAAGCGCGCGUAGGCGGUCUGAUAAGCCGGUUGUGAAAGCCCCGGGCUCAACCUGGGAACGGCAUCCGGAACUGUCAGGCUAGAGUGCAGGAGAGGAAGGUAGAAUUCCCGGUGUAGCGGUGACAUGCGUAGCGAUCGGGAGGAAUACCAGUGGCGAAGGCGGCCUUCUGGACUGACACUGACGCUGAGGUGCGAAAGCGUGGGUAGCAAACAGGAUUAGAUACCCCUGUAGUC